RNAcentral lists this ribosomal RNA (398 nucleotides) under uncultured bacterium. RNAcentral's name for it is "partial 16S ribosomal RNA". It matches the Rfam family "Bacterial small subunit ribosomal RNA", at positions 523 to 918 of the family's 1533-position model. The record is from RNAcentral.
AUACGUAGGGUGCGAGCGUUGUCCGGAAUUACUGGGCGUAAAGAGCUCGUAGGUGGUUUGUCGCGUCGUCUGUGAAAUUCCGGGGCUUAACUCCGGGCGUGCAGGCGAUACGGGCAUAACUUGAGUACUGUAGGGGAGACUGGAAUUCCUGGUGUAGCGGUGAAAUGCGCAGAUAUCAGGAGGAACACCGGUGGCGAAGGGGGGUCUCUGGGCAGUAACUGACGCUGAGGAGCGAAAGCAUGGGUAGCGAACAGGAGUAGAUACCCUGGUAGUCCAUGCUGUAAACGGUGGGCGCUAGGUGUAGGGGUCUUCCACGACUUCUGUGCCGUAGCUAACGCAUUAAGCGCCCCGCCUGGGGAGUACGGCCGCAAGGCUAAAACUCAAAUGAAUUGACGGGG